CUACGUGCCAGCAGCCGCGGUAAUACGUAGGUCCCGAGCGUUGUCCGGAUUCAUUGGGCGUAAAGCGCUCGUAGGCGGUCUGUUAGGUCGGGAGUUAAAUCCGGGGGCUCAACCCCCGUUCGCUCCCGAUACCGGCAGACUUGAGUUUGGUAGGGGAAGGUGGAAUUCCUAGUGUAGCGGUGGAAUGCGCAGAUAUUAGGAAGAACACCAGUGGCGAAGGCGGCCUUCUGGGCCAUAACUGACGCUGAGGAGCGAAAGCUAGGGGAGCAAACAGGAUUAGAUACCCUGGUAGUCCUAGCCGUAAACGAUGGACACUAGGUGUGGGGGAAUAUUUCUUCCGUGCCGCAGCUAACGCAUUAAGUGUCCCGCCUGGGGAGUACGGCCGCAAGGCUAAAACUCAAAGGAAUUGACGGGGGCCCGCACAAGCAGCGGAGCAUGUGGUUUAAUUCGAAGCAACGCGAAGAACCUUACCAGGGCU
RNAcentral lists this ribosomal RNA (478 nucleotides) under uncultured bacterium. RNAcentral's name for it is "bacterial SSU rRNA". It matches the Rfam family "Bacterial small subunit ribosomal RNA", at positions 501 to 981 of the family's 1533-position model. The record is from RNAcentral.